GAUGAACGCUGGCGGCGUGCUUAACACAUGCAAGUCGAACGGACAUGCCCUGCUUUUGUGGGGUGCUCGAGCGGCGAACGGGUGAGUAACACGUGAGUAACCUGCCCUUGACUUUGGGAUAACUUCAGGAAACUGGGGCUAAUACCGGAUAGGAGCUCCUGCUGCAUGGUGGGGGAUGGAAAGUUUCGGCGGUUGGGGCUGGACUCGCGGCUUAUCAGCCUCUUGGUGGGGUAGUGGCUUACCAAGGCCUCGACGGGUAGCCGGCCUGAGAGGGUGACCGGCCACAUUGGGACUGAGAUACGGCCAAGACGGCUACGGGAGGCAGCGGUGGGGAAUAGUGCGCAAUGGGCGGAAGCCUGGUGCAACAACGCCACGUGCGGGAUGACGGCCUUCGGGUUGUAAACCGCUUUCGCCUGUGACGAAGCGUGAGUGACGGUAAUGAGUAAAGAAGCACCGGCUAACUACGUG
This 468-nucleotide ribosomal RNA is filed under the name uncultured bacterium. Its description in RNAcentral is "partial 16S ribosomal RNA". It matches the Rfam family "Bacterial small subunit ribosomal RNA", at positions 28 to 507 of the family's 1533-position model. The record is from RNAcentral.